RNAcentral lists this ribosomal RNA (253 nucleotides) under uncultured bacterium. RNAcentral describes it as "partial 16S ribosomal RNA". It matches the Rfam family "Bacterial small subunit ribosomal RNA", at positions 524 to 776 of the family's 1533-position model. The record is from RNAcentral.
UACAUAGGGGGCAAGCGUUGUCCGGAUUUAUUGGGCGUAAAGAGCGUGUAGGCGGUCAGGUAGGUCGGUUGUGAAAACUGGAGGCUCAACCUUCAGAGGUCGACCGAAACCCCCUGGCUAGAGUCCGGGAGAGGAGAGUGGAAUUCCUGGUGUAGCGGUGAAAUGCGCAGAUAUCAGGAAGAACACCCGUGGCGAAAGCGGCUCUCUGGAACGGUACUGACGCUGAGACGCGAAAGCGUGGGGAGCGAACAGG